UACAGAGGAUGCAAGCGUUAUCCGGAAUCACUGGGCGUAAAGCGCACGUAGGCGGACUCUUAAGUCGGUGGUGAAAUCCUGGAGCUCAACUCCAGAACUGCCUUCGAUACUGAGAGUCUUGAGUCCGGGGAGAGGUGAGUGGAACUGCGAGUGUAGAGGUGAAAUUCGUAGAUAUUCGCAAGAACACCAGUGGCGAAGGCGGCUCACUGGCCCGGUACUGACGCUGAGGUGCGAAGACGUAGGGAGCAAACAGG
This 254-nucleotide ribosomal RNA is filed under the name uncultured bacterium. Its description in RNAcentral is "partial 16S ribosomal RNA". It matches the Rfam family "Bacterial small subunit ribosomal RNA", at positions 524 to 776 of the family's 1533-position model. The record is from RNAcentral.